RNAcentral lists this ribosomal RNA (399 nucleotides) under uncultured Rhizophydiales. RNAcentral describes it as "partial small subunit ribosomal RNA". It matches the Rfam family "Eukaryotic small subunit ribosomal RNA", at positions 30 to 432 of the family's 1831-position model. The record is from RNAcentral. Lineage: Eukaryota; Fungi; Chytridiomycota; Chytridiomycetes; Rhizophydiales.
GCUUGUCUCAAAGAUUAAGCCAUGCAUGUCUAAGUAUAAAUAUCUAUACUGUGAAACUGCGUAUGGCUCAUUAAAUCAGUUAUAGUUUAUUUGAUGAUACCCCACUACAUGGAUAACCGUAGUAAUUCUAGAGCUAAUACAUGCGUCAAAUCCCGACUUUUUGGAAGGGAUGUAUUUAUUAGAUAAAAAACCAAUCGUAGCGAUACGUUUUUUGGUGAAUCAUGAUAACUUUUCGAAUCGCACGACAUUGUUGGCGAUGGUUCAAUCAAAUUUCUGCCCUAUCACCUUUCGAUGGUAGUAUAGAGGACUACCAUGGGUAUAACGGGUAACGGAGAAUUAGGGUUCGAUUCCGGAGAGGGAGCCUGAGAAACGGCUACCACAUCCAAGGAAGGCAGCAGG